Molecule: long non-coding RNA, 7267 nt
Filed under: Lactuca sativa (garden lettuce)
Lineage: Eukaryota; Viridiplantae; Streptophyta; Magnoliopsida; Asterales; Asteraceae
Description: long non-coding RNA (LSAT_LNC002604)
Source: RNAcentral
AAUGUAUAUUUUUAUCUACUAAUAUGUUGGGUAGAACAUGGGUAGAUAGUUGGUGUGUAAUAAACAGAUGAGAGGCCUCGUUGUUGUUUGAUUUAGUCAUCUAGCGGAGUUUAGAUGACGACCACGGACUUUUCUAGACAGUCUUGUGGAACAUUAGCAGGUUCGCCACCUGUAGGUGUUAAUGAACUUGGGUGUUCAUUCGCUGUACUCCAUCCCCCUCAUGGUUGCCUUAUUUGACUUAUAUUGCUGAGGAACCCCCGAAGCAUGUGUUGUCGCCCCGAUGAAAUAUUCUUAGACUAGGUCCCUUGUGUUAGUCAUUUUAGGGACAUAAAGUAAGAAUAACGGGAAUGGAUAAUUGGGUUAUUGUUGGUUGGUGGAAAUUAAAUAUGAUUAUUUAUUGUGGGUUGAAAACCCUAUAUGCUCACCAGGCUCCCAAGUCUGACCCACUCAGUUUUAUUUGUAUUACAGGAAGUGGCGCAAGGGCAUGAGAUGGAUGAGCCAUCAAGUUGUUUUGUUUACAAGUCUGUAUAUGUAUAUAUAUGUUGAAUGACUUGUAAUGUUAUCGUUUAUGCUUAUUGGUCUGUAUCGGAACAUGACACCCUGAGUUUUAAUUAUAUAAUGAAAAAUACAUUUCUUUUAUGAAAUGCUUUGGUAAACAUUGUUUUAUCAUGUUUUGUUUUUGGGAACAAAUUCCUCAACUCUUUCAAAUCAAAAGGAUUUACUCUGAAAUUAUUUUAAAAGCAUAAAUGAAAAUUGGUCUUUUCUGGCCGAGAUUUUGGGGAUGUCACACCGGGACUUGUGCAACCCGUAAUUCCUGCGACUGCCACUUUUGAGCUUAAGGGUCACAUUCUUGCUCUACUCAAGGAGAUCCCCUUCUACGGAAAAGACCACGAAGAUGCUUACAAACACUUGGAUGAAGUCAAUGAUGUAGCUGAUUAUUUUAAUGUUCCAAACGUGCCUCGCGAAACUCAGAUACUUCUCAUGCUUCUGGUUACAUUGAAGGGUGCUGCAAAGGAUUGGCUCAAGUCACUUCCCCCCGGAUCCAUCACUAAUGGGCCAAGAUGAAAGAAGAGGUUAUGGAUCAAUUCUGCCUACCCUCCAAGAUAUCUAAGUUAAAGAAAGCCAUAGCCAACUUUGAACAACAAGCUGGAGAGUCACUUUAUGAAGCUUGGGAGAGGUACAAGAGUUUACUAUGGAAUUGCCCACAUCAUGACCUUAAUAGUCAACAAGAAGUCUCCAUUUUCUAUGAUGGAGUGAAUGUUACAACAAGGCAAUUACUUGACUUGCAAGGUCCAAUCACAAAGAAAGCACUCCCGGUGAUAAAACAACUAAUUGAAGAAUUCUUUAAGCAUUCUAGAGAAUACCACAAUCCAAGGAAUGAUGUGACAAGGGGAUCAGCUUAUGCAGCUUCAGAAGAUUUGUCAGCAGUCAUGGCUAUGUUGAAACCAUGGAUAGGAGGAUGGAUGAAAUGGAUCAAACGAUACAUGCUAUUCGGGUGGGUUGUGAGAAUUACAAUGGACCUCAGCUUACUAAAGAUUGUGACUCGGACGAGAAUGGGAAUAAAAAGGUGCAAGUAUGUUACUCAAGUGGUGACCGAUAUGAUGAAGAUUGGCGGAAACCCAAGAAAGAGUGGCUUCCUUAUGAUGAGUACAAGAGGGCUAAGGAGGAGAAGUUUAAACAAAAAGGAAGAGGUUUUUAUCAAAAGGAGGAGUCGGCACAAGAAAGGAAACCAAGUUUGGAAGAGAUGCUUACUAAGUUUGUAGUUGCUUCAGAAAAGAGACAUAAUGAUCAUGAUGUUGCAAUCCAAGAAACAAGAACAAUGCUUAGAAAUCAACAAGCAUCUAUCCACAACAUUGAGACACAGCUGGGGCAACUUGCUCAACAAAUUAAUUAAAGAUCACCGGGAGAACUUCUUAGUAAAACCGAAAACAACCCACGAGGCGCACAUAUAAAUAUCGUGACAACAAGAAGUGGAAAGAUAAUUACUCCUCUGGCCCCUAUUCAGUCUGAAGAGCCCAAGCAGUUACAAAAGGAGGAUGCAGAAAAACAAAUCCAAAAUCAAAAUCUGCAUGACAUAGACCCUACUCGCCGAGUCCAUAAGAUGGACUCGACGAGUCCAGUGCCUAAUCAGAAAAGUCAGAUUCUAGCAAAACCAUUUUAGCCUCCAAUGCCAUAUCCAGCCCGAGCUAAGCAAGAAAAGAAGGAAGAAGACUACCAGAAGUUUCUAGAACACAUAAAGGCUCUUCAAAUCAACAUACCAUUCAUAGAAGCGGUUGCCCAAAUGCCAAAAUAUGCCAAGUUUCUCAAAGAGCUUCUAACUAAUAGAAGGAAGAUGGAAGAAGUGAGUGAAGUAGUUCUUAAUGAGAAUUUCUCAGCUGCUAUGUUAAACAAGCUACCGAAGAAGAAGGGUGACCUGGGAAGCUUAACAUUGCCUUGUCAAUUUGGGAAUUUGGCCACCAUUCAUGCUUUGGCCGAUUCAGGAGCAAGUGUAAACCUCAUGCCUUAUUCAUUUUUCUAGAAACUAGAUCUCCCGGAACCGAGGCCAAUCCGAAUGGCAAUCCACUUAGCAAACAAAACUGUUACAUUCCCACGAGGAAUCUGUGAAGAUCUCUUGGUAAAGGUGGAUAAGUUCGUGUUCCCCGCGGAUUUUAUAAUCUUGGACAUGGAAGCGGAUCCUCAAGUCCCUAUCAUCCUGGGAAGACCUUUCCUUAACACCGCAAUCGCUAUAGUUGACAUGUGAGAUUCAAAACUUACUCUACGGGUGGGGGAUGAUUCAGUCACUUUCGGGGUUGAUCAAGCCAUGAAGCAUGCAAUGCAUAGUGAUGACACAACAUUUUCAAUUGAUAUGUUGGAUGAAUUGAUGGAGGAAUGGCAUAAUGAAGAUCCAAACAAGUCCACCAUCACCUUUACUGAAGAACUUGAUGCUGAAAAAUACCUACUGGAAAUAGAGAGACCGCUGGAAGAAGCUGAUUAUGAUGAGUUAAUGAAGACCAUUGAGCAUCCAACUCGCCGAGUUCAUUUGAAGAAACCUGAGGAAUCGCAAAUUCUGCACUGUACUCGACGUGUUCAGCAUGCAGAACGCAAAAACUGAGCUGAAGGCACUACCAGAUCACUUGGAGUAUGCAUUCCUUGAAGAUGGUCAACAAAAACCUGUUGUAAUAGCUUCUGACCUCUCAAAUCUGAAANUUCAAAUCUUGAAGAAGAGGAAGAGUGCCAUUGCAUGGAGUAUCACCGAUAUCAAGGGAAUAAGCCCUUCUUAUUGCUCUCACAAGAUCAACCUGGAAGAAGCAGCAAAGCCGGUAGUGCAACACCAAAGAAGAUUGAACCUGCACAUGCAAGAAGUGGUCAAGAAGGAAGUAGUCAAUCUUUUAGAUGCGGGGAUCAUUUAUUCUAUUUCCGAUAGUUCAUGGGUUAGUCCUGUCCAAGUGGUGCCCAAGAAAGGAGGGAUGAGGGUCAUAUCAAACGACAAGAAUGAGCUUAUUCCAACACGAACGGUAACCGGUUGGCGAGUGUGUAUCGAUUAUCGAAAGCUAAACGAUGCCACUCGUAAAGACCAUUUUCCUUUGCCUUUUAUUGAUUAAAUGCUUGAAAGAUUGUCCGGCCAUAGUUAUUAUUGUUUUUUAGAUGGAUUUUCGGGAUACUUCCAAAUACCCAUAGACCUAAUGGACCAAGAAAAGACCACUUUCACUUGCCCGAGUGGAACUUUUGCCAAUCGUCGCAUGCCCUUUGGGUUAUGCAAUGCACCUGCGACAUUUCAAAGGUGUAUGACAGCCAUAUUCCAUGACAUGGUGGAAAAGUUCAUGGAAGUAUUUAUGGACGAUUUUUCUGUUUUUGGAUCUUCUUUCCAUAAUUGUCUUGCUAACCUUGAUUUAAUGCUUGCAAGGUGUGAAAAGACCGAUUUAGUCCUUAAUUGGGAAAAAUGUCACUUUAUGGUUAAAGAGGGUAUAGUUAAUUGGGAAAAAUGUCACUUUAUGGUUAAAGAGGGUAUAGUUUUGGGCCACAAGGUAUCCAAAUAGGGAAUUGAGGUGGAUCGGGCAAAAAUAGAUACAAUUGUUAAAUUACCUCCACCGACUAAUGUAAAGGGCAUUAGGAGUUUUUUUAGGACACGCGGGUUUUUACCACCGUUUCAUAAAAGAAUUUUCUAAAAUAGCUAGACCUUUAACACAAUUGCUUUUAAAAGAUGCACCAUUUAAUUUCACUAAAGAAUGUCUAGACACUUUUGAAUUUUUGAAAGAAAAAUUAACUAAUGCCACGAUCAUUAUUGCCCCGAAUUGGAAUUUACCCUUUGAAAUAAUGUGUGAUGCUAGUGACUUUGCAUUAGGAGCUGUCCUUGGUCAAAGGGUUGAUAAGCACUUUCGACCCAUUUAUUAUGCAAGUAAGACUUUGAAUCCGGCCCAAGAAAAUUACACCACAACCGAAAAAGAAUUACUAGCUGUGGUGUAUUCUUUUGAGAAAUUCCGCCCUUAUCUAGUUUUAUCUAAAACCACUGUUUUUACUAACCACUCUGCUAUUAAGUAUUUAUUUGCCAAGCAGGAUGCAAAGCCAAGAUUGAUACGUUGGGUUCUACUUCUACAAGAAUUUGACAUCGAGAUACGCAAUAAGAAAGGAAUGGAGAAUGUAGCGGCCGACCACUUAUCAAGGCUAGAAAACCCGCAGUUGGAAGCAUUGGAAGAAGAUAAAAUUGGAGACGAUUUUCCGGACGAGUACAUUUUGGUGACCACGGGGGAAGAGCCAUGGUUUGCGGACAUAGCUAAUUACUUAGCUACCAAGUACAUCCCAAAAGACUUUACCCGCCAACAAAAGAAGAAAUUCUUUUCAGAAAUAAAAUACUACUUUUGGGAUGAGCCAUAUCUUUUCCGAAGUUGUGCGGAUGGGAUCUUAAGGAGAUGCGUAUUCGGGAAUGAAAGCCGAGAAAUUUUGGAGCAUUGCCAUAGCGGGCCCACCGGUGGACAUCAUGGAGCACAUUACACGGCAAAGAAGAUAUUUGAUGUUGGGUUUUAUUGGCCUACAAUUUUAAAGAUUCUAUCCAAUAUGUCAAAGAGUGUGAUGCAUUCCAAAGAGCGGGACACAUAUCAUCCCGAAAUGAGAUGCCACAACAUAGUAUUCAAGUGUGUGAAGUGUUUGACGUAUGGGGGAUCGAUUUCAUGGAACCAUUUCCCAUCUCAAAGGGCAACAAAUAUAUUUUGGUGGCGGUUGAUGUAACGCCUGUGUUUCCGGGCUCGUCAUUAAUAUUGAUAUAGUAGUCCAGGUUAACUUUUGUAACCUGUUUUGAAAUAAUAGAAGUGUAUUAUUUGAGUAUUAUGUGUUAUGUGCUUAAUUGUGUAUCUUAAUUUAAUUAAGAAUAACAAUAAGCGUCAAAAUGAAAUGUUAGAUAAAUCUGAUAUCUAUGGAUAAUGUUGUAGUAGUUGAAACGAGGUUUCCGAAUAUAUAAAGAAUACCGAAAUCCGAGUUAUAACGAAGAAGUUAUGACCUGUCGAAGUUUCGCGACAGAACCGACAACGCUGAAUGACGUAAAAAGUGAAAUUUACGUUAGUUCAAUAUUUAGCCUUAGUGAUCUAAAUGAAUGUUGUAGAGUUCCUUAAACCGAGAGCGUGCAUGAAAAGAACGCCCAAAUCUGACUUCAUAUGAGGAAGUUAUGAUUUUUUGAAGUUUCGACUUAGCGGUAUGCAGCCCGAAUACUCGAAAUAGAGAUCAAGUGAUAUUUAGCCAAAAAUUUCUAAAUGAGAAUUGAAGAUCUCAUUGAUAGUAGUCCAAUGAUAAAAUACAGACGAAAACGGAGUUCAGAUGAAGGAGUUAUGAAUUUCGAAUAGAGUUUUCCUGUCCCGGCCUACUAAAAAUAAUAUAUAAGUAAUAUACUUAUAAUAUCUGAAAAUAAAAUCAAAAUUAGCCAAUGGAGUCUAAACGAGAGUUGUAGAGCAUAAUCUCACCUUCGCGUCGAUAUAAAGAACGUCGAAAACGGAGUUCGUAUGUGAAAGUUAUGAAUUUCUGAAGUUCGGGGCGCGAAACCCCAAAACUGUCAGAUACCACGACGUGGCAAGCAGUGCCACGACGUGGCCAGUCUUCUGACACCUCCGGGAGUCCCCCAGAUGCAACUUGCGAUGACGCAUGCAGUGACGACCAAGCCCACGACGUGGAAAAAGGUGNNNNNNNNNNNNNNNNNNNNNNNNNNNNNNNNNNNNNNNNNNNNNNNNNNNNNNNNNNNNNNNNNNNNNNNNNNNNNNNNNNNNNNNNNNNNNNNNNNNNNNNNNNNNNNNNNNNNNNNNNNNNNNNNNNNNNNNNNNNNNNNNNNNNNNNNNNNNNNNNNNNNNNNNNNNNNNNNNNNNNNNNNNNNNNNNNNNNNNNNNNNNNNNNNNNNNNNNNNNNNNNNNNNNNNNNNNNNNNNNNNNNNNNNNNNNNNNNNNUGUCCGAUCAUCUUCUGAUCAAGUGAGUGUGUAGUUACUUUCUUCUAACGCAUAAUUAUGAAGUAUUUUGUACAAAAUACGUGUUAUGUGUAUAUUUUGUUGUUAUAUGUGUGAAUGUAUAUUCACGUUCUUCUAUCCCAUAUAUCUGAUUUAUUCUCUAUGAAGUACGUGUUAUGUGUGUGUGCCUCAUCUGUUAUCUGGAAUAUGUAUUGAUCGAACAUGCUAUACUGGUUUUAAACUAUGUAUAAAAAUAUAUAUUUUUAUCUACUAAUAUGUUCGGUAGAACAUGGGUAGAUAGUUGAUGUGUGAUAAACAGAUGAGAGGCGUCGAUGUUGUUGUUGUUGAUCUAGUUAUUCAGCGGAGUAUGGAUAACGACCACAGACUCUUUCUAGACAGUCCUGUGGAACGCUAGCAGGUUCAUAACCUGUAGGUGUUGUGAACGAUGUGUUCACCGGUGUACUCUAUCCCCCUCAUGGUUGCCUUUAGGAUAUCUAUUGUUGAGGAAACCCCUUAGCAGUAAUGUCCGUCCCGAUGAAAAUCCUAGAUUAGGUCCCUUGAGAUAGAUGUUGUUUUAGGGACAUAAAGUGAGGAUAACGGGAAUGGGUAAUCGGGUUAUUGUUGGUUGGUGAAAUUAAAUAUAAUUAUUUAUUGUGGGUUGAAAACCCUAUAUGCUCACCAGGCUCCCAAGCCUGACCCACUCAGUUUUAUUUGUAUUACAGGAAGUGGCGCAAGGGCAUAAGAUGGACGAACCAUCAAGUUGUUUUGUUUACAAGUCUGUAUAUGUAUAUAUUUGUUGAAUGACUUGUAAUGUUAUUGUUUAUGCUUUAUCAUCUGUAUCGGAACAUGAAAUCCGGAGUUUUGAUUAU